This 506-nucleotide ribosomal RNA is filed under the name uncultured bacterium. Its description in RNAcentral is "partial 16S ribosomal RNA". It matches the Rfam family "Bacterial small subunit ribosomal RNA", at positions 30 to 523 of the family's 1533-position model. The record is from RNAcentral.
AUUGAACGCUGGCGGCAGGCCUAACACAUGCAAGUCGAACGGUAACAGGAAACAGCUUGCUGUUUCGCUGACGAGUGGCGGACGGGUGUGUAAUGUCUGGGAAACUGCCUGAUGGAGGGGGAUAACUACUGGAAACGGUAGCUAAUACCGCAUAACGUCGCAAGACCAAAGAGGGGGACCUUCGGGCCUCUUGCCAUCGGAUGUGCCCAGAUGGGAUUAGCUAGUAGGUGGGGUAACGGCUCACCUAGGCGACGAUCCCUAGCUGGUCUGAUAGGAUGACCAGCCACACUGGAACUGAGACACGGUCCAGACUCCUACGGGAGGAAGCAGUGGGGAAUAUUGCACAAUGGGCGCAAGCCUGAUGCAGCCAUGCCGCGUGUAUGAAGAAGGCCUUCGGGUUGUAAAGUACUUUCAGCGGGGAGGAAGGGAGUAAAGUCAAUACCUUCGCUCAUUGACGUUACCCGCAGAAGAAGCACCGGCUAACUCCGUGCCAGCCGCCGCAGUAA